This is a long non-coding RNA of Suricata suricatta (meerkat), 1152 nucleotides long. The record is from Ensembl. Lineage: Eukaryota; Metazoa; Chordata; Mammalia; Carnivora; Herpestidae.
CCCAGCUCAAAUGACACCCCCUCCACGAAGCCUUCUUGGCAUCACGACGGCCCCCACCAGCAUAGUCCGGCAUGCCUGCUCUCUCCUAGGCCGUGUGUUGUCCACUCAGCAGAUGCAGAGGGUGUGCCUCCCACGCACCAGCGCGGUGCUGGGCCUGGGCCACAGAGGCGGGCACACGGACAAGGACUCUGCCCUGAGGACUUGUGUCCUGUCUCCCUCCCACCCCAGCCAGGAGGCGGUCAGCUCCUGGCGCCAGAGGCAAGGACUGUCUCCCCCACCGUCUGGCCCAUAGUCGGUGCUCUGCGAUGGCCUAAAUGGAUGAAAGGGUCAAGGUGUGAACACAGCAGGUGCCAGAAGCCCCUUUCCUGGGGGCCCAAGGAGGCCCCGCCACUGGAGUCUCUGCCCAUGAGGGCCAUUCAGACAUAAGUCACCCCAUCGCUGGGAUAUUUGGACUCCGUUGACACAAAUGCAGUGUCUGCCCAUCUUUCCAGGGCCUCAUGUUCAAGCCUGGAUUGCUCCUGCAUGCCUGCUGGGGUGUCACAGCACAGAAGACAGGAGAAGAUGAUGUUUUGGGAAACAGCGUGCUGCCUUUGCCUUUGGAGAACGAACCCAGAUACACAGCGGAGUUGAGUUCAGUACUUACACUCACCUAGUGAGCCAGGCUUUGGGUCCAGUGCUUGGAGAGGGUGCUGAGGGGCGAGACGCAGAUUCCAGGAACCUGGCCAAGUGGGAAGUGGCACAAGGGCUCACAACCGAGCCGUUCCCCUGUGCUAUCUUAUUGAACGUCUCCAUGAAUCACCCAUGGGGCAGGCAGACUCAGCCGUGCUCUGGAGGGGUAGGAGACGGAGGCUGCCGGGGCACUGUCACCUGGCACCUGGAGUCACCUACAGGACCCAAAUUCUGUGGGAUUCAAGGUCAGCCUGGGUGCGUGGCAAUAAGGCUGUAAGGAGAAACAUGAGGUGGCCGGAGACGGAGCAUCAGAGACAAGAACUGGAUGGGUCGAGAAGCCUGCCGGCUCGGAGGAACAUGCCCAGAUUGGUGCCCUGGCCCCAGGGGGAGGAUGAGCGACAGACAGAGCAGGACCAGAACGCCCCAGUCGAGCCCAGCCAAGAUCAGCCGACUCUUAGCUGAUCCAGAAUAAAUGGUGGUUGU